CAGUCGCCGCGGGAAUACGUAGGUGGCGAGCGUUGUCCGGAAUCAUUGGGCGUAAAGGGAGCGCAGGCGGGCAUGUAAGUCUUUCUUAAAAGUGCGGGGCUCAACCCCGUGAUGGGAAAGAAACUACAUGUCUUGAGUACAGGAGAGGAAAGCGGAAUUCCCAGUGUAGCGGUGAAAUGCGUAGAUAUUGGGAGGAACACCAGUGGCGAAGGCGGCUUUCUGGACUGCAACUGACGCUGAGGCUCGAAAGCCAGGGGAGCGAACGGGAUUAGAUACCCCCGUAGUCCCUGUCUCUUAUACA
Molecule: ribosomal RNA, 301 nt
Filed under: uncultured bacterium
Lineage: Bacteria
Description: partial 16S ribosomal RNA
Rfam family: Bacterial small subunit ribosomal RNA
Source: RNAcentral